CAUGGAGUUUGAUCCUGGCUCAGAUUGAACGCUGGCGGCAUGCUUUACACAUGCAAGUCGAACGGUAACAGGUUAAGCUGACGAGUGGCGAACGGGUGAGUAAUGCAUCGGAACGUGCCCGAUCGUGGGGGAUAACGCAGCGAAAGCUGCGCUAAUACCGCAUACGAUCUGAGGAUGAAAGCGGGGGACCUUGUAGCAAUGCGGGGGCCUCGCGCGAUCGGAGCGGCCGAUGUCAGAUUAGCUAGUUGGGUGGGGUAAAACGCCCACCGAAGGCGACGAUCUGUAGCUGGUCUGAGAGGACGACCAGCCACACUGGAACUGAGAC
Molecule: ribosomal RNA, 325 nt
Filed under: uncultured Hydrogenophaga sp.
Lineage: Bacteria; Pseudomonadati; Pseudomonadota; Betaproteobacteria; Burkholderiales; Comamonadaceae
Description: bacterial SSU rRNA
Rfam family: Bacterial small subunit ribosomal RNA
Source: RNAcentral